ACGUAGGGUGCGAGCGUUAAUCGGAAUUACUGGGCGUAAAGCGUGCGCAGGCGGUUAUGUAAGACAGAUGUGAAAUCCCCGGGCUUAACCCGGGAACUGCAUUUGAAACUGCAGUGCUUGAGUAAGGGAGAGGGGGAUGGAAUUCCGCGUGUAGCAGUGAAAUGCGUAGAUAUGCGGAGGAACACCGAUGGCGAAGGCAAUCCCCUGGACCUGUACUGACGCUCAUGCGCGAAAGCGUGGGGAGCAAACAG
This 251-nucleotide ribosomal RNA is filed under the name uncultured prokaryote. Its description in RNAcentral is "partial 16S rRNA". It matches the Rfam family "Bacterial small subunit ribosomal RNA", at positions 525 to 775 of the family's 1533-position model. The record is from RNAcentral.